This 76-nucleotide transfer RNA is filed under the name Amedibacillus dolichus. RNAcentral describes it as "tRNA-Thr". It matches the Rfam family "tRNA". From Rfam's summary of the family: Transfer RNA (tRNA) molecules are approximately 80 nucleotides in length. RNAcentral also lists the same sequence under 15 other names. Lineage: Bacteria; Bacillati; Bacillota; Erysipelotrichia; Erysipelotrichales; Erysipelotrichaceae. The record is from RNAcentral.
GCCGACGUAGCACAGUUGGUAGUGCAACGCACUCGUAACGCGUAGGUCGUAGGUUCAAGUCCUAUCGUCGGCACCA